Molecule: ribosomal RNA, 494 nt
Filed under: uncultured Actinomycetes bacterium
Lineage: Bacteria; Bacillati; Actinomycetota; Actinomycetes
Description: bacterial SSU rRNA
Rfam family: Bacterial small subunit ribosomal RNA
Source: RNAcentral
AGAGUUUGAUCCUGGCUCAGGACGAACGCUGGCGGCGUGCUUAACACAUGCAAGUCGAGCGGAAAGGCCCUUCGGGGUACUCGAGCGGCGAACGGGUGAGUAACACGUGAGUAACCUGCCCCUGACUCUGGGAUAAGCCUGGGAAACUGGGUCUAAUACCGGAUAUGACAUCUACCCGCAUGGGUUGGGUGUGGAAAGUUUUUUCGGUUGGGGAUGGGCUCGCGGCCUAUCAGCUUGUUGGUGGGGUAGUGGCCUACCAAGGCGACGACGGGUAGCCGGCCUGAGAGGGCGACCGGCCACACUGGGACUGAGACACGGCCCAGACUCCUACGGGAGGCAGCAGUGGGGAAUAUUGCGCAAUGGGCGGAAGCCUGACGCAGCGACGCCGCGUGAGGGAUGACGGCCUUCGGGUUGUAAACCUCUUUCAGCAGGGACGAAGUUGACGUGUACCUGUAGAAGAAGCGCCGGCUAACUACGUGCCAGCAGCCGCGGUA